RNAcentral lists this ribosomal RNA (301 nucleotides) under uncultured bacterium. RNAcentral describes it as "partial 16S ribosomal RNA". It matches the Rfam family "Bacterial small subunit ribosomal RNA", at positions 509 to 807 of the family's 1533-position model. The record is from RNAcentral.
CAGUAGCCGCGGUAAUACGAAGGGGGCUAGCGUUGCUCGGAAUGACUGGGCGUAAAGGGCGCGUAGGCGGUUCGGAUAGUUAGAUGUGAAAUUCCCGGGCUUAACCUGGGGACUGCAUUUGAUACUUCCGGGCUUGAGUGUGGAAGAGGGUCGUGGAAUUCCCAGUGUAGAGGUGAAAUUCGUAGAUAUUGGGAAGAGCACCGGUGGCGAAGGCGGCGACCUGGUCCAUAACUGACGCUGAGGCGCGAAAGCGUGGGGAGCAAACAGGAUUAGAUACCCCCGUAGUCCCUGUCUCUUAUAC